RNAcentral lists this ribosomal RNA (95 nucleotides) under Mesocricetus auratus (golden hamster). Lineage: Eukaryota; Metazoa; Chordata; Mammalia; Rodentia; Cricetidae. The record is from RNAcentral.
AAGGCCAAACCACCCUGAAUGUUCCCGAUCGUGUCUGAUAUUGGAAGCUAAGCAUGGUCGGGCCUGGUUACUACUUGCAUGGGAGGCCACUUUUC